UGCUGUGGUUAUUAGACCAUGGCACAAAGUGCCACAUCCAGUCUCAUCUUAAAAACCUCCAGGGAUGGUGAAUUCACCACCUCCAUGGACAGCCCAUUCCAACCAUGAUCAAUGAGGAUCUUGCAGCUUAUGCAGCACUCAUUUCUUCCUACUGGCUUCUGCUAAAUGUAAUAAGAAAGAACAUGACAGUAAAGUGUCACAGCCAUAGACUAUUGCAUAGGAGGUAUUAGCUGCCGCCUCUCUAGCAUCAUCUGUAACACUGGACUAUUCAUGUGAAAAUACACAGAGCUACUUGUUCCUUGCUGUGGCAGUUCUCAUUCUGCUUUCCUGCAUUUGAUCAUCUGGCAGAGGCUAGCAGUAGCAGAGGAGAUAUUUCACCAGCAAUCUGACAAUUGAUGUUGUCAGCCCAGGCCAGGCUACUGGAGGAUGCCCCUAUGGACAGGGAGCGAUUCCUGUGGCCAAGGGGGAUGGUGUGAUCUAGUUCAGAGUUCCAUGAUGAAAGGGGCAGUAAAUAUGUCAGAUCACUCUAAAAUCACUCUUAAUGUGAAAUGAGGCUAGAAAAUAAGUUUAAUUUACAAAAGGUGGAGAGGAGCUCCUAAAUCAAUCUAAAGACAAACAGGCUGGAAACAAAAUAAAUAGCUCAAUAAAUACCUGGUACUUCAUUGCAAUUUCAGGGGGUUUUUUAUGUUAUUCCAUUAGUGGAUCUGAGAACUGAGGCACAUGGACACAAAUCAUUUUGGAUGCCACAGUUGUCUGACUCUUAAACAAGUCACAUUCUCACAGUAUUUUCUUUCCAGGUAAUUGUUAGUGGUAUAUGGAAGAUGUGAAGGUGUAGUACACUGCUCUGUGGUGAUAUUCUCCUGGUGUGGUUCCGAUAGGCAGGAAGGUCUGGUGAUUUAUUCAAUCUAAAGAAUGUGCAGAAAGAACUUGCUCCUAUCAUUUGAACAGGAGGUAGAACAGGGUUCUGCUCACUUUCUUCUGAGAUUUUUCACUUUUGGGAAGUACAGAAAAAUUUCUGAAAGUUCUUAAUCAGCUAGUGUUCUGUGACUUCCCAGAAAUAUUUCAGCUAGUAAACUAUGCUAGUCCUCUGACAAGGUAGAGGAAGAUUAAAAAAUUUGGGGUUUAUAUUUAAUAGAAAUUAAAACCUGAAAAACAUUACACUGCAAACAGUGCUGCCAAUGUUUUCGUCUAACUUGGAGGUGCUCUGCAGUGCUUUCGUUGAGGUAUUGCCUCACAGGUGCACUGCGAUCACAGUGCUUCAGCCAUCAGUGCUUAAGAAGAAAAGUAUGCAGUCUUCUGCCUGUUUUGUCUCUUAGAAGCAGCCAAAAUGAUUUUUGGCACAUAUUGCUAACUGCAGCAAACAAAUCCACUGGAUGAAAAAAGCAACAGCAGCAACUACCAGCUUUAGCCUUGUAUUUCCUGUAGUACUUAGAAAGAUGAAAUAUUUUAUCUUUGAGAUUAUUGAUGUGUGACUACUUGCCCAUUCUUGUUUUUCCUUCUCUCUGCAUAUCCUUUUAACUAACUUUCAGGAGUAAUUUUCUGUUCCCCUUUAUUUUCUUUCCUAGACAUACAAUGGCACAGUUUCAUGUCCUCAGCUGUUGCUAGGGAGACAGAAUUUUGAACCCAGCUUGUCAAGCAAAUGAAGGAGCAAUUAUUUUUGAAGUAUUUCUAUAAACUUGGAUCAAAGAUGGUCACAUAUUUUUUAAGGUAGUGUUGGUAGAACUUUUUUUUUAGAUUACUCAGCACUUUCAGUGACAACUCCCUGUAUUGUAAAUCCUGCUGUUCAGCAUGAUACUUCCUUUGGGUGUUUUAUUUGAAAAGUCCCACAAAGCUUGACCCAGCUCUUUCCAAGCAGAGAGAGCAAAAAAAGUUUUAGGCAUAUUCAACUAAUUCUUGCAGCUGUCUCCUCUGCUUGUAGAGCUGUCACUGUGGUGCAGCAAGGUGAAAUUUUCCAGGGAAGGAACACUGUGGCAGUAGGGGCUUGAAGGGAGGGGAAAGACACUUUUAUUUAUCUUUAGUUUGGUCAUGUGUUUGGGCUACCACCUUUCCCAGGUGAAGCUGCAGCUAUCCCUUUAGGUAGUUUCUUCCCUUCUGCUGCUCAUUGGAAGAGAGUGUGGGCAGGCAUUGGUUUCUGCUAGUGCUGGGCUACAGGUAUGUGCUGGGAGAUGCAUUGUGUGGGCAGGCCUGAGUUCUCUCCUUCAUCCUCAAAUGCCUGUGUAAGCACAUAGACUCUCUCUGCUGAGUGUGGUGACUGCCCACAUUAUCUGUACUUUCAGGAAAGCUCAAGUGUGGUAGAUGCAGGAGGGUUAAGGAAGGGUGGGCAUGUUAAACUGCCACUGAGGUCAGCUGCAGCCCAUGUGACGUCUAAGGGUUGUUCCCAAGACUCUUCUGGAAUGUGCAACUCCCCCUGAGGUCAGUGGGUAUUUUCAGUUUGUGGCUGAGUGCCUGUACUUUGCCAUUCUGACUGCACAAGGUUGUCCAGAAGUAGCAGGUUGUUUCUAGUUUGUAGUGUUGCUAUCUAUAGAACCUUCAACUCCUCUAACAUUAAGAAGAAAAUUUAAAUAAGUAUUACCUUACACUUCAUAUAGCUGUCUCAGGAAACAGGUCCUAGCACACCCUGAGACAGAUCUUUAAACAGGAACAGUGUGUGCUGUUUUCUCAAGAACCUUCUUGUACUUUAUUGCAUUUAUGUUAUCUUCAUGAGGAAUUAUUUUGCAUCUACACGCUGUCAAUGAAAAUCAUUAUACACUCAGAGCUUCAUUCAAUGAGCGGAGUCAUUAAACUGUACUAUUAGGUCAGUUGGUUAGAGCACGGUGCUAAUAAUACCAAAGUUGUGGGUUUGAUCUCUUCAUGGGCCGUUCAUUUAAGAGUAGGACAUGAAGAUCUUUCUGAAUCCCUUCCAACUCAGAAUAUUCUGUAUAGGUAUUGGAUUUUUACUAUUUGGUAAUGAAAAAUAUUUCUGUAAAUCUGAGAAUAAGGGCAAAAAAUUACGCAUACAUAGACUGUCAAUAACUUAUGGGUUGCUUUAAGACAGGACUUUCCCAGUGCAGCCAAACAAGUUGUGGGAUGAUUUUCACUGUGUCCUGAUUACAAGAUUCACACAAAGUCUGACUGGCUCACCAACAUUCUGGAAAGUCUGAAGAGAAGUGAAGUGACACAACUUGCAUAUUAGUCCUUCUUAGACUUCUUGAAGACCUGCUGGAAGACCUUAUUAUACCUACCCUCUCCUAAGGGAGAAAAUUUACCUGAAAAUGUAAGAUCAAAAUAUUUUUUAAAAACCCAACGUUUUUAUUUAUGCUUAAACCUUGAGAUUUUUGUUACUGAAAUGGUUCUGUAGUUCUUUUUUUUUCUUCAUCUUUUUUUCAAGAUGUAAUGCUAGCCCCACAUAUGUGCAUAAAGUAACAUGUUUCAAGUGGAAGAGACCAAACUUAAUAUUAAAUUUGCCAUUUUUGUUUAAAGUGGCUAUAUUGCUGCAUUGCUAAAUUUCUGUACAGAAGAAAGAAGAAAAAAAAAGAAAGUAGAGAAAAACUGAUUAAGGAUUGUAGCUUGGGCUGCAGCAAGAGGCACAACCAGCUGGUUGAGGGAGACGAUUCUCUCCCUUUACCCUGUUCUUGUGAAACCCCACCUGGAAUACUGUGUCCAGCUCUGGGCUCCCCAGCACAAGAAAGACCUUGACCUACUGGAACAAGUCCAGAGAGGGACAUAGAUGAUCUGAAGGCUGGAACACCUCUCCUAAAAAGACAGGCUGGAAGAGCUGUUCAGCCUGCAGAAGAGAAGGCUCCAGGGAGAUGUUAUAGCACCUUCCAGUGCCUAAAGGGGGCCUGCAGGAGAGCUGGAGAGGGAUUUUUACAGAGACAUGUAGUAGUGAUAGGAUAAGGGGGAAUGGCUAUAUGCUGAAAAAGGGGAGAUUCAGAUUGGAUAUUAGGGAGAAAUUCUUUAAGGGUGGUGAAGCACUGACACGGGUUGUCCAGAGAGGUUGCAGAAUGCCCAUCCCUGGAGGUGUUCAAGAAGAGGUUGGAUGGGGCUUUGAGCAAUGUGGUCUAGUGGAAGGUUCCUUGCUUUUGACAGGAAAGUUGGAACUAGAUGAUCUUUAAGGGCCCUUCCAACCCAGGCCAUUCUAUGAUUCUACCAAAGGGCCUGACUCUUUUAAUUUGGAAUAAGCAUUGUGGGAAAUAAUGCAAUGCAUUUUCAGCUGUCUGAUGCCCUGAUAAUACCCUGUAAUUGCCAAUGGAUAACAUCACUGCUCCACGGUGUUGAGGCUCCCAUGGGAUCUUCCUCUUGUUUGGAACAAAAAGGAUCCAUUUUGUUACUUUUUUUCACUCAUUUCUACCCUUGAAAAUUUGCCUGUGUAAAGAAUCAUGUUUAGAAUGGCUGGACUGUAUGUAUUUUCUUGAAAAUAAGGAAAAUUUUUGUUUAUUCUCAAUUACAGACCAUAUCUAUUAGGUAAUUUCUAGUAAUCGGUAGUCAAAUACUACAAAUGAGAAAUUUGUUUGUUAUAGAAGGCUUUUUCUACUUCUGUUGUGAGAAUUAAUUUUGGAGUUACCUCAGUGUUGAUUUUGUUCUGAAGUGCUCUUUACUUUUGGUGUCUUCAGGAGCAAGGGCUGAGGUGUGAGACCCAUGCAGAGGGCUGACGAUGGGCAGUUAAUCUACAAGUGCAGCAACUGCUGAGUCCCUCUAGCCAGAUUUCUCAGGCUUUUUUUGGGGGGAAGACAGGUGUUUAAAUAAAGACUUUGAUAUACGAAGAAGCUGUCAAAGGACAAUUUACCACAGUAGCUUCUCUAUGGUAACUAUCUUCGCAUUCUUUUCAGCUGCCAGGCACUCUUCAAGAGAUGAAAAAAAAAAUAAUUUGCAGCUUAAUUGAGAAGUAAGUAACUUUCAAUUAAUUGUCUCACAUUUGCCAUGAGGCACAAGGCAUGGAUUGACUGGGAGACAAAGAGGAGAGUUGCGACAGGUUCGGCGUUGAGUGGAGCAGCCGGCGCAUCCCUCUGCCCUUCCUGCAGCAGCCGCUGCCCGUUCCCCCGCCGGAACCCUGAGCGGGACAGAGUCUGGCCUGGUAACUCCAGCGUGCUCCAGGCAGCCCCCAAAACCACAGCACUCAGGCUCUCUGCCAAAGCCCUGCAGCUUCCCGCGAGGAGGUUCUGCCGCUCCGGGAUCCUGGGGUCCGUGCGCGUCCAUCCCAUCCCAAGCUCCUGCUGACACCUGCUGGCCUCCCGCUGGCUGGAAGCUCAGAAUGUUGGGAAAGAGGGCCAGCCCUCUCGUUUUCUUGCUGCUGCCUUCUAGUCUCUGAGCUGUUGGUUGUUGAACCUUUAGAGGAGAAUAAUACAUUUAGAACAAAUAUUUAUGGGACUAAGCUUACAUUACUCCAUGAGCAUGGCAUAAGAGAACAGGAUAUAUCUCCUCAACAUCUGAGAGGACUGUAAAUAUGACCUUUAGGUACUUCAGCAUUUCUUCUUGGCUCUUCUUAAAGAGGGACAGGCCACGCUGGUGAUGAUGGAGCAGAGAUCCACACAUUCACUACCAACUGGGUCUGGCUCACCCUUAGUGAGGCAUCCUAUAACCUAUUCAAGGAGGCAAGAAUUUCAGCAGAGCAGAAUCUGUACAGUGUAAAUUGAUUCAUCAUUUGUUUCAAAAUGAAACAGCAGUAUUAACAAUUUAGCAUCUUUUAUUAUGGGUAAUUAUGAACCAUUAGUUAGAACCACUUCAGAGUUUCUGACUUCAUAGAGACACUCAAUGCAAUGUUGGGGUCAGACAUCAGGCUAGAUAAAAUUUAGGAUUUACUUUCUAGCAAGCCUGAGUUAUGUGAAGACCUAUUUUCUGUUGCUUUGCCUGAAACACACUCACAUAUUUAGUGUGCUAAAACAAAUGUGAAAUGCAAAAACUUCUCUAAAUGACAAUGCAACUAGGGUAGUAGGAGACAUAGUCUAAAAGUCUGAGCAUGUGAGUGUCCUGUAAUCUGAACUGGAAGAAGUGUUUUUGUUUUUUUUCCUUUUAUGUGGCAUUUCCAAACCUCAAAACUGUGACAUGCAGUACUGUUGUGGUUUAACCCCAGCCAGGAACAAGGUAGCACACAGCUGCUUGCUCACUCCCCCACCAGUGGGAUCGGGAAAAGAAUCAAAACAGUAAAAGCUAGAAAACUUGUGCAUUGAGAUAAAGCCAGUUAAAUAGGGGAAGCAAAAGCCAUGCACACAAGCAAAGCAAAACAAGGAAAUUAUUCACCCCUUCCCAUGGGCAGGCAGGUGUUCAGCCAUCUCCAGGAGAACAGGGCCCCAUCACAUAUAAAGGUUACUUGGGAAGACAAACACCAUCACUCCAGGUGUUCAUCCCUUCUUCCUUUUUGCCCUCACUUUAUAUACUGAGCGUGAUGUCAUAUGGUAUGGAAUAUAACUUUGGUUAGUUUGAGUCAGCUAUCAUGGCUGUGUCUUCUCCCAGUUUCCCAUGUACCCUCAACUUCUUUGCCAGCAUGGCAGGAUGAAAAGCAGAAAAGCCCUUGGCUCUGUGUAAGCCCUGCUCAGCAAUAAUAAAAACACCUUUAUAUAUCACCCCUGUGUUCAACACGAAUAUGAAACCCAGCCCCAUACCAGCCACUGUGAAGAAAAUUACCUCAGCUAAAACCAGUAAAAGUACAAACCAGUUACUGCUACUUGCUGGAACUAGACAAAUGUAAUAUCGUCUAGUGAAACUCUGCCAUUCCUCACAAACCAUGCUGUAACAUGUGAGAUGCUGGUUUUGGAGUGACUAAUGACUAGAGUCUUGAGGCUGGUACCUAGUUUCGUUUAUUACUGUGUUGCACUCACACCUGCAGUGUCAGUGUGAAAGUACAGCUUUCACGGAGGAACAGCUGAGCAGAAGGAAAGAAGAGCUGCCAUCUUGUGUGGGGAACUGAGACUGCACUAAAUGAGGAUAAAAUGAUAAGAAGAUUAAAAAUUUAGUACACCUUUGGGAAUUCGUUAAGUAAAGAUUAUUUCCUUUUUAGUCAUGACUUCCAUAUUUUCUUUCUAUUUGUUUAUAACUAAUGCAAAUGAAUCAGUUCAUCCAAUAAGUGCUGUUUUUCUGGCUUCAGCAGUACUGCAAACUCACUGAGAGGAUGCUGAGGCAGUGGGACCUUUCCACUGUCUGCACCAUCUAGCAGAGCUGACUAGCCGUGGGGCAGGACAUAUUACAGCCAGGAACACCAGCCCUGAACAGAGAAAAUAUCUUCGUGUAACUUUUGUAUACAAAGUAGGAUAACCACAAACAGGUUUAUGGUGUGUUACAUGAUGUUCAUGAAUCAGAUGACAGCAGGCACCUUUUUCCAAACCUCUUGAUACAGUCUUUAUAGGAUCUGUAUUCGAUGCUUUUUUUUUUUCUUGCUGGGUGUGGAUGCUUACCACAACCAAGCAAAGAAGUGUCCUUGCCAAUACUGGAAGGACAGAGAUGUUAUUCCAGCUUCUGUUUCCCCAUUCCCUCUUAACUCCUAAAAGCAAGAUUGAAUGUGGGAACUAUAAGAGCAGAUUAUGAGUAGACCCAGAUGGACAAUACUGUAAUUAAAUCCUUCACCUGCUAUCCUUCUGGUUGCCUUGGGUAAGGAAAGUGGGGUGCUCUGUUUCUGGAGCCUGCUAUGGGCAGGCUGGCUCUGCCCAUCAUCAUGUCAUCCAGGAAGUAAUUGAUCCUGUGUGGGUCGAUGGCUGCAUUCUCUGUCUCUGGCAGUGAACAAAUGUAGAAUGACACCUAAAGAGACUGUCUCUGAUGUGAUGUUGAGAAUCUGUGAGAUCCAUACAGUUCUCAGAUGAGAGAUGAUUAUCAGCAUUGCCACUGAUGAGCAAGAGAAAGUAUUCCCUUUUUUUUUUUAGCCUAGGAUCUUCCCCUACUACAUUUACAGGAAUGAAGCUGGGGUCUUCUCCAGCAACUAAGGCAGCACCAGUAAGUAUAACAACAUCCUUACUUUAGCUUUUGCCUUUUGAGAGUUACCAGUGGUAACCAAACUCAAGGACAUGAAGACCUUGUGGAAAAUCGAGCGUAUGUAACACGUAGGCAAAAGAAAACAGUUUCCCCAUAAGUGUAGGGUGGUGGUGGUAAUGGAGUGUCUUAUCAUGACACUAUAAGAGGAGAGAUGGAGGAUGGUAAGACUACCAAAACCACUGGAUUCUUAAUCUAGAAGUCUGGAUAAAAAUACGAGAGCAUGUACAUCGACCUCUGCAUUUUUUCCCAAAUAGAAGACAUUGCCUUUCAAACAAAAGUAACACCUUAGCCAGGACACAGAGCAUGUCUUCAUGUUGGAAAGAUGGGCUUUGUGUCCAAGGUACUGUUGUGAGAAAUUCCUUUUGGUAUUUGGAGUAAGCCCACAGGUAUUAUCAUGGAUUCGAUGAAGCCCACAAUCCGCCCGGAGGUGACAAACCUGCAACUGCUGACUAGGAGACAGACUGAAAGAUCUUGUCCUCACAUACUUCUGCUUGUCAAGCACCUGAAGGAUACUGAAGGGUUUAGAUGUUCUGUCAAGCUUACUCUGCUCUGAAUGUCUUUACCAGCAUUAGUUGUGUUCCAUGUUAUAAAGUUGUCACUAAGAACCAGACUGUGAAGGCCUCCUGGAGAAGAGUUUAUCUGAUUUCUGCUACAUCCUUUUAGCAAUAGAACUAACAGAAACAGGGUAUCCUUGAGGGCUGUGAGCUACAGAAAAGUAACAGAUAAACUAUGAAAACCAAAUUCCUGUAGGCAAGCUACAUAGAGGAUCCUGAGAGAGCAGGUCAGCUUCUUCAUGGUGACAACUGUACAGAAAUUCUAUAUGAUCUGGUGAGUGCUGAAUUUUGAAAAACUGUGUUGACAAGGGUUAUCUCUGUGGGUUUACUGCUAAGGAGAUUGAGAGAGAAGCCUUCUUACUUCAAUCACUGGUUAAAUCCAAACUUAACAAGGUAGGCUUCAAAAUCAGCUAUCUCUUGUAAUAUCUCAUGGUGGUUUUUUUUUUAAUUUGGAGUUUAAACACAAAAGUUAUAGUGAUCUUACUCCUUAUUUAACUGUCUGCAUCAAGUUAGCACUUCAUGCUAAUGCAACUAAAGAAUAUGGCCUCUUAUUCUUGGGCUGCUAUUAAAGUGGUAUUGAGAAGGAAAUCCAGCUGAGUUAGAAGGUUAAGAUGUCUCAGCACCAAACUUGUUUACUUCUUGUUAAAGUUCAAGUUUCUGAAGGCCUUAUACCAAAUAGUUAGGGACAUACUAGAAUUUACUCAGUCCUUCGACUGUUUCUUCAAAGAUCACUAAGAAAGACGAGAGAGGAGCCACUGACACAGUUUGUCUGGUCUUCCAUCAGUGACAGUUUGGCUUUUUUGUCCUUCCUUUCUAGUAACUGAUAAACAGAAAAUCUUCUCAGCUCCAGCUUCCUAACCCUGCCUUUUCCUGUAAUCCUCUUGAGACCCAACACUUUUUCACUACAAGCAGAUAAUUAUCUUCAGUAAACCCUAUGUGUAUUAGUGAGAACAGUAGACAUUAUUUACCUCUACCCUGUAAAACAUGAUCUACUAUGAUUAGUUGUUACAAGGAACCUCUGUUUUCCUUGGUAGACAGUUCAUUGGAAAGGACUCGGGCUCUGUGCCUUAUAAAGGCACUACAUAAGCUUGAAUAAAACCUAUUCAUUCUUUCUAUUCAGAGCUUUCAGGCAUUCAAACCUCCCUUCAGACACAGUUGCCCCGAGAUGUCUGUUCACAUCCCAUCUGUACCUGAUGAAAUUGUAUCGACGCAGCCUCUGCUGGAGAUUAUUUCCUGUCUUCAUUGUAGGUCCUAUUUAGAUUAUAAUAUUUGAGAACAUGUAGCCAUUUUGUGAUUGCCUAACAGUGUCUCACUGCCUCUCAUUUUAUACUGUGAAACUGUGUCAAUUUAUAUCUUAAAUUCUUACAAGUGGUUUUGUAUGUGGACAUGCACCUGGAAUUUCCUCCUAUUCCCAGUGCUGUUCCUUAUGUCCACAUAUUGCCAGUGAUUAGCAGUUCAUCUUGUAUGCUAUUUUGAUCUCCCUCUGAUGUUGCUUUCCAACUAUGUGUCAUCAACAAGUCUUACAAGCAUGCUACUCUUUGGGAUAAAAUCUUUAAUGAAACUCCUCCCCAAACCAAGCCUCAAAGAGCUGCACUGUAGCUUCUUUUCUUUUCCCAGCCUGACACUUCACCUUUCAACACUAAGCACAGCUGCUUUCAGCUUAUCACAAUGCUUUUAUGGCUUUUAUUUUUCAUUGUUUAUCUAUCAAUAUCUCAUGCAAUAGUCUAUCAUAUUUACCUAAGUCCAGAUAGAUCAGAUUGCCAAGAAAAUCAGCAGAGACAGACACAGGCUCAAUUUGGCACAGUGUGUCCUUAAUGAACUGAUAUGCAUUAACCCCCUCUAAUGGGCACCUCUAUUUCUUUUAAUCUUCAGAGUAUCAAAUGUUUUUUUGGUUAAGUGAACACGUUCAGACACAAAGAUUGGGGGAGAGAAAUGAGAUCUGUAGUUGUAUAUACUGUUUUCUCCUUUUUAAACAUGCAAAGUAGUCUUGCUCUUCUUGCUCUACUUUACCAUAAUUUGAAAAAUACGUUAAGAAUCUAUGCUAGAAUGUGAUUCCAUGUUCCCAUUCCCUUGGUGUUAUAUGACUGAAGCUCAUGUCUCGGUUUCCUAAUUUGAACAUAAAGACUGUGUUACCCUGAGCGUGGUCAUUAAAGAAACAUUUCAGGCUGGAACUAGCAGUAGUAUUGACUGUGUCACUAGGAAAUAUUCAUUACUGUCUCAGCCUGACCCGUUCUUGAAGUCACAGAGAAGCUCUCAGCACACAGACAAACACAAAUCUGAACUACAUCUGUACAUUACCUCAUUUGCCAGAAUGCUAAUGCUUAUAUGCAUGAAUCAAGGAACACUCUAAUUGCACUCUCAACUACAUACCAGAAACAGCCAUGAAUUUAAAUGGAAAGUAUGUGCAAUCAAGUUCCAGCUAUUUAAACUGAGUUCUAGAAACAUCUGUAGCCAGGCUGUCUUAAUUUAUGGAAGCCCAUUAACCAGCCAAGAUAACUUCACUUGCAUGUCUCAAAGAGAAUAAAGAAAAUUUACUUUGCCUCACCUAAAUGUUAGUGGUUUUUUGUGAAGUUCCCUGAAUGGAUCAGAGAACUUUAGACAGUAAGAACAAGUUAGAGUUAUAAACUCUAUCCUGAACUUCUUUCACUUGCUGUAAUCUGUGACAAGUUUUCAAUGCCUUUGUUUUCAUAUUACACGCUACUUGGAAAAAAGGAAACACAAUAAAAAACCCCACCAAAAUUUGCUGUACUGCAGAAACCACUAAAUAGAAAUACACAUAAGCAGAAAAUCUUAGCAAAACACUUGGAAUAAAAGUUACUAUAUAAUAGUUAAGAUAACAAAUAUUAAAAUAAAGAAUGAGAGAAAGUAGAACAAUCUAGCAAUAUCUAUUAGAAUACUAGGACAGUGACAAUGUUUGGGGUGGUAACUUUUUGGCCGGUCUUUCAAAGUGAUGAUAAACUUCCAAUUUCCAUCCUUCCCUUGCAAUUCCCCCCCCCCCUCCCCCCCCAGAACUAAGCUCUGAAUGUGCUUUUAAAAGCACUUGAUUUCUCAAACCUGUACUUGGGAAAAUGGACAGGUAGCUCAGCAGGACAAUUUAACCACCAUUAAAAGUCACUCAAGUUCCUGAUCAUAGUGAAAUGACAGCUGAUGGAGUUUACUUCCCUAAGACAAAUCUGUGCAUCCAUAUCAAAUAGUGACUUACUUAGGAGUUACCUUGUAUCUACUUUUUGGAAGAGGAAUCUUUCAUACUUAAUCCACUUUAAUUCUCUCCUUGGGGUUCUGGGUUCUGCACAAGUAAAUAAAUAGAGUAACAUUAUGCUGUAUCUUGCAGUAUAUCAAGAUGCUUCUUAGGCAAUUUGGUAAGAAAUCUUUUAAGAAUAAAAAUAUAAUAAAAAUCAAAAGAGAAAAUUUCCUUCUGGUAAGCUUGAAAUUCUGCUUUCAAGUACAGGUUUAAGUUGGAAUCUAUGAGCUUUUCAGUAUGUAUCAAGGCCCCUAAUCAUGCUGGCUUUAUUUUCAAAGGACAUGAGCAUUUAAGACAUGCUUGUCCAGCUCAGUUGGUAGAGGCUGAGUACUUUCAAGUACUUUCUCUACAUAGUCCCUGAUAUCUCUACUACAGUGAAGCAAAUUGUUGCUUCCUUACAACAGGGAAGCUUAAGCACGUACUGAGCAUCCCUGGCUAGAGGCAGUGAUGCCGAAUGACUAAAUUACUGAUGAGAUAAAAUGGGAAGCGAAACCUCCUUGCAUUCUUACUUGUUUUAAUUAUGUUUCUAUACACACAGUCCGGGCUGAUGCUGCAUGGGGGUCUCUGGAAAGGCUUGCCACACUUUCUCCAAAACAAUUAAUGGUUUGUGAGCUCAUAACAUUUCUGUGGUGUAAAUCAAGAUUAUUCAUUCCUACCCAGAAUCGUAUUAUCUAACUCCUACCAAGCCUGGGAUUUGAAUGUAUGUCCUUGUUUGGCAGCAAAAGGUUCUGUUCUUAGGCUACAGAGCUGGCUCUUUUUAAGCAUAGUUUUGAAAAUGCAAAUGCAGUGGACUGUUUCCCAUGGAAUCAAAAUAACGUGGGAUCCUAAUUUAUUGUGUUCAGCGAUUAAACAAAUAAUUUCUUCCUUACGUAUUCAAAUUGCCAUCCAUCAGUUCUUUCAAGACUGAAUCUAUAGUACCCUUCUAAAUAGCUGCAGAAAAGUCUUUCAUUAAUUAUCACACAGUGUUAUUACUGCCAGCUCUGCUGGCUGCAAAAAUAAUUCUUUGUGUUUCUUUGUUGUAACUUAUUGCUUCUAUCUUGGCAUCAAAUCUACUCACUCGAGGCUCAUGAGUCUAACCAUCACUGCCAUCAUAUACAGAAGUCUGUACACACACAGAAUCACAGAAUCACAGAAUCACAGAAUCACAGAAUCACAGAAUCACAGAAUCACAGAAUCACAGAAUAUGCUGAGUUGGAAGGGACCCACAAGGAUCAUUGAGUCCAACUCCUGGCCCUGCACAAGACCAUCCCCAGGAGUCACACCAUGUGCCUAAGAGUAUUGUCCAGACACUUCCUGAACUCUCUCAGUCUUGCUGCUGUGAUCACUUCCCAAGGGAGCCUGUUCCAGUGCCCAACCACCUUCAGGGUGAAGAAGCUUUUUCUAAUAUCCAACCCAAACCUUUCCUGACACAAUUUCAGGCCAUUUCCUCAGGUCUCAUCACUGGUCACCGCAGAGGGGAGAUGUACCCCUGCUCAUCCCCUCAUGAGGAAGUUGUAGACUGCAAGGAGGUCUCCUCUCAGUCUCCUCCAGGUUGAACACACCAGGUGACCUCAGCCACUCCUCAUAUGACUUCCCCUCAAGGCCCUUCACCAUCUUCUUUGCCCUCCUUUGGAUGCUCUCUAAUAGCUUAAUAUCUUUCCUGUAUGGUGGUGCCCAAAACUGCACUCCAUAUUCAAGGUGAGGCUGCCCCAGUGCAGAGCAGAGCUGAACAAUCCCCUCCCUCGACCAGCUGGUGAUGCUUUGCCUGAUGACUCCCCAGACACGGUUGGCCCUCCUGGCUGCCAGGGCACUGCUGACUCAUAUUCAACUUACCAUCAGCCAGGACCCCCAGGUCCAUUUCCAUGGCACUGCUUUCCAGCAUCUCAUUCCCCAGUCUAUAUGUACAUCUGAGGUUACCUCAUCCCAGGUGCAGAAUCCGGCACUUCCCCUUGUUGAACGCCCUGUGGUUGGUGAUUGCUCAGUCCUCUAAUUUGCUGAGGUCUCUCUGUAGGGCCUCCUUCCCUUCGAGGGAGUCAACAAUUCCUCCCAGUUCUGGGUCAUCUGCAAACUUACUUAGUAUCCCUUCCUGUCCUGUGUCCAAACCAUUUAUGAAGAUGUUGAAGAGCACAGGGUCUAAGAUGGAGCCCUGUGGAACCCACUAGUGACAGGUCGUCAGUCUGAUGUUACCCCAUUCACUAUUACCCUUUGUGCUUGACCCGUGAGCCAGGUGCUGAACUUUCAAGAGGGACACCAUUUAAGACAUGUAGGUUAUUAAAAGUAAAAAAAAAGAAACAGGUCAAGUCUUGGCUUGCCAAUAAACUUUUCUGGGAUUGGCAGGGGUCUGGAGUUGGCCAGGUUUCUCUGGCUUACUUGGAGGAUGGUAGAUAUGGGAGCUUCUGGAACAGGAAACACGUUUCUUAGGGCUUGGGGCCAUAGAAAUUGUUUAUAUAGACUGAUAAGCUUAUUUUGAACGAAGGAUACACUAAAAAUAGGAUUUUAAAAGGAAUUUAUCCUUACUUCUUUCUUUAAAUCCACAUGAGAAGGAAGUGAAGAGCUUUGAAGCUAGGAUUAGGUGCCAUACACAUGCCUGUCUGGCUCAUCCAAGUGCAUCCCUCCCUCAGAGGAUAGGGCUUCUGCCUUUGCUUCUCGAGCUGGAAGCACGUGAUUCUCCUACUCUUACACUAUGCUGAAGGCUAUGGUAUUUUUGUGUUUCAAUUUUGUUCAUCCAUAAGAUCAACCAGAUUACUCUAUAUUUUCUUGUCGGAGCGUAUAUUGGUUUAGAGGAAAAAGGAGUCACUUUAAAAAAAGUGUAGUUUACUCUUACCACAACAUAAAAUGCCAAAGUUGUAUUUUUUUUAAGUCUAGAAUUAUAAAUGAGUGCAUGAGUGCCUACCUGAGUAGGAGUUUUUCCCUUCUGUGAGAAGUUUAUUACACAGUCACUUCCGUAGCUUAUUUUGCGUCACUAUAGCUAAAAAAAAAGACUUUUAUUUCCAGGCCUUAGGUGAGGCAUAUGAACUAGUUUAGUGAUACUCAGAAAAUAGAAACUAAAAUAGCAACAUUAAAUGAAUUUCUUUGAUUCUUUUCUAAAAAUCUACUAUCUGGUUGUAUCUUUUCCUCAAUUCCUGCUUGCAUUUCCCCCCAGUCCUACUACUGAAUUAAUGUAGCCUAGGCCUAUGGUGAACAGCCUAACAGACAGAUCACAGCACACUGAUGCAUUGCUCCGGGGAAGCUAAAAUCUGUCACAGAGGGAGGUGAACUGGAACUGAUUUUAGAUUCCCAUUCAUUUUCUAAGGAAUGCAAGCAAAAGAAAAACAAGGGGAGGUGGGUUGGUAAAGGGACUAAGACUUUAAAUAGUAUUCUUGACAUUUUGAAAUAAUGAUCAUUGGCACUAAUGCCUAAAAGCUUAUAAACCACUGCCUUAUGUGGAUUAAGAAGUAGAAAGGCCAGCUCCCUCUUAGGCAGAGUACUUUGUAGUGCUAUCUCAGUUUUGUGGAUUAAGAUGGAUUUCAAUAGGCUUACAUUUCCUAACAAGUCUCUGACCACCAGUGUCCCUUAUGGCUCUCCCAGUGCACACUCUAACCACCUGUGAGGAAAAGAGAACUCAUUUUUCUGCUUAUAGGGCAGAUCCAGCACUUGCAGCUAGAAGCAUCACUUUUAUUGGGGUCUUAUCUACUCAUAUAAUUUACCAUAUGAAGUAAUGCGGAUUAGAAGCAGGGAGUAGCGGCAAUACGAAUCAAGGUUAGUCUGGAGCUCUUGCCAGUGCAAAGGAACACAGAUAUGAAUAGAUCUGCUUUCUUCAGCCCCCUCUACUCCUUUACUGUAGCCUUCAACACACCAUUUUCUAUGCUGUGAGAUACCCCUGCCUUCUGUGAAUUUUCAAAUAACUUUCAACAGCUUUUGAAUACUACCAUUAUGGAGGAAUGACAUCUUUUCUUGGGAUCAAACUAUUCUAGAAAUCAGGGUACACUUACAGUGUCAGCUAGGAUGUCUCCCCUCCUAUCAGGCUGCUGUGCAAACACAGGCAGGAGUGCAGUCAGCCCCCAGCUUUGCAAAUACAGAAAGCUCCGUCACAAAACAGUACUUCUCACCAUGUGUAGGAGAGCUGUAUAGACAUGGGAACUGAUCUGACAAGGGAGAGAUAGACAUCUUUAAAGUGAGAAAAUAGCUAAUAUGAGACAGAAGGUGAUAUGUCUGUGUGAAAUUAUUAACUCUGUUGGAGAUUGGGUUCUGAAUUGUCAAAGUUAGUCUCUGAAGAGCCUGCGCAGGUGUUUGUCUGGAGGCAGCCCUGGCUGGGAAGGCAGUCUGCCGUCUCCUCAAAGGAGAGACAGUGGGUGCUCUCUGGGCAGCAGGCUGAUGGGACUGUGCUCCCCCGGGGAGGUGGCAAACAGGCUUCCUGCUGCUGAGGUUUGUGUGACCACAUGCUGUGAACCCUGAUACAGAUCCCUGUGUGACUCCACCAUCUGAGGGGUGGUGGGCUGGUAAAACAAACCAGGAAUCGCUGCAAAGGAUAAGGUUCCACGGUAGCCUUGGCAGAGACUCUGGUUUAGGAAAUCCUUUCCUCCUGCCUCCUUGUUCACAUCCUAAGUCACAACUCCCAUUCCAUGCCCCAGUUCCCCCUCUUCUCAUCUGUGCUACUAAAAUUGUUGUUGGACAAGGUGCAAAUCUGACCUCUCUACCAGGACCUCUAUACAAGGAUGUCUCCCUUUUUAAGUUUUCUGGUCAGGUUUUCCACUUGCCAAAUGCACUCACAGGCUGUUUGCACAAGCUAACUAGUUAAAGGAAAUGAACUGAUUUAUGAUAUUUUCAUCCUCAGUUCAUUCCCAGCUGUUAGUUCUGGAUCUGCCUGAACUUCCUGCUCCACUACUUAUGCCUGCUAUAAAAACCAUUUCAUUAUCAGCAUGGAUCAUAAAAUGGUCAAACGAAUGUUAUAUUGUGCUGGAAUCAUGGAAGUGGAAUAGCAGGAAUGACCAUUAAGGGAAGUCUGCAGAACUGGAAUGAUUAAAUCUAUACCCAACACAGCGUCUUAUGUGUCUGUAGUCUGAGAAAUAAGACUGUGUUUCAUACCUGAAACACAGACAUUUUUUUGGUAAGUAUGUAACAGAAGAUUAUGUGGAAGGAAGACUAAUUGGUCUAGCAGAGACAGCUCUUCAGACUGUGAGCAGAAGGAACCAGCAGAAGAUGACAGACUCAUCUUCUGGCAAAUGUCCAUGCAUGACAAACUAGAAAAUGUUAUGUGCUUAGAUAUAAUGCUUCCCUGACAUUACCUCUACAUAGUUUGGGCAUAUAGAGGUAAUCAACCUCUUGAUUUAAAUUGAGCUACUUAAGAAUGUCUUAUGUAGUGUCUACGUGGUCAUAAAUGAGCAAUACCUCUUUUCUAGGAACCAAGAGAUAAGUGCAGUACCUGUAAGAUCGCAUUCCGUAAAAGAAGUCCAGAUCAACCUUUCAAGUUAAAAUCUUUUCCGUUCUUCUACGAAAAACACCUGCAACAUCAGCAUGGUUUACAGAGUAAUAGGGUUUGUUUUUCUUAGAUGAAAUGAAAAAACAGAUUGAUUUUUCCUCUGUUCCACUUAAAAUCUGUGACAAAGAUUUUGCUGUGAGGUUUGCAACAGAAUUCAAUAAUCCUUAAUAGAGUAAAGCUGUCAGGAGUGACCGUCAGAUGUGAAUGAAAUUCUUGUGACACAGGGCUGGAAAAGAACAAAUUACCAGAAAUGAAUGGUCUUCCCUCUUAAGUAAAAGAUGGAAAGUCAAUCAAUCAUUUAUUAGUGAAUUCUGAAAUAUUGUAUUUUCUGACUAGAAAUCCAUAGUGGAUUUGGAUCACGUUUGCAAUGCAUAUUUAUAAUUUCAGUUAUGGUGUGGUUUAAGCUUGUGUCCAUGUUGUGAAAAAUUCAGUCAAUUUGUAUGGAAGUUAUUCACCAACUUCAAUGUGUAAGUGCUCUUUCUCCUGGAAUUUACUGCAUUUGUAAUACAAUAUUUUAGAGCAGGUAAGUGUUUUUAUUAAAAAUCAGUAGUUAAGGUGUGAAAAUCAUGUUUUUGCAACUGUAGAUUUUUUUGGUGGGUGAACAAGGAGAUGUGGCUUCCUUUCAUUUACCUACAGAGCCUUUGAUUUAUAAAGCAUAUUCUUUUAUAUUUCACAGUGGACCUCUGACUGUUCUUUUCAUUGUGUUACAAUGUGACUUGAAAAAGAGCACUUGCUUUUAAACAACUGGGUAAGUUAAAAAUAAAGCUAUCUGGAAAAGCUGAGGGAAUUUGAAAUAUCAAGAGUCUAUUGCUUAAAGCUGAGCAACAGCAAACUUACUCAGUUCUGCUUUCCAAAGGGGCUUUCUUAAACAGAUAGUUAUAGGAGGCCUAAAAUAAUACUUUGAAGCAAAGAACAUGUCCCUUCUCCUCUUUGAGUUGGCUUCGACAAUAAUUAUUUAGAGAAGAAUAAUUUUUUGACUUUCAGGAGUUUGGAAAUGUUGCUAACUGGCCAUGGCCAUUACGAUGUUUUGAUUUUACAUAUAACUGUUGGUAAACCCCAUGUUGAUAAGCUUUUUUGUGUCACUGAUCACUGUAAAUAAUUUGAGUUUGAUUUGAUUUUUUUUUCUGCAUGUUCAAAAGUUUUUAUGCUCUUUUUAAUCCAUAGUUUAUCUUUGCAAUGCCAACAGAUAGACUGUGACUGAAACUUCAUGAAGAACCUAGAAAGAAAUCUUCUACCAGCAUCUUGUAUUGUGAUUUGUCUCUUAUAUGCUGGUAAUGGUAAUGUUUUGACAGAUGGCUGGAGCAGUAGCAUUAGAAGCAACUGUCAUGGAUACUCCACAUCCUGUCUGAGAAAGUACACCCUGAUCAUCCUACCCAGGAGGAAUCCCUGAACCCUCAAGAGAAAGUAUCCAUGUUUCUAUAUAUUCAGUGAGCGUGUGUCAGAAUUUAGAUAUGAAAGCAUAAAUAAAUUGUUUUGCUACUCUGAA
Molecule: long non-coding RNA, 18656 nt
Organism: Pseudopipra pipra
Lineage: Eukaryota; Metazoa; Chordata; Aves; Passeriformes; Pipridae
Exons: 2
Source: RefSeq, a predicted model, not a curated record